AAGGAGUUUAUUAUGUUUGGGCCUGUAGUUUGGGCCUUUGUUUGUUUGUUAUGUUGGGCUUGGUCCAGUUUGUACUAUGACCCGUUUAAUAAAAUUCCAGUAGAAAAAAAAAAGACUAGGUCCUAUUCCGUCUAAAACAUAAAAAGAAAAUUUUAUACUCGUAAUUUAUUAUACCACUUUUUAAUAUUUUAAAAUUUUAUAUAAUUUUUUUGAACGUUAUUUUUUUAGCAAGAAAUCUUAAUGCAUUAAAAAAUAAAGAGUUUAGAGGUUUAGAACUAGAUGGGUUGCUAGACAAGUCUUUGCAAGCCCAUUAGCCUGUCCAUUAUACAAAUGAGAAAUGAAAAAAAAAGACAAGAUAUGAAUGGAGAGUUUAAAGACGAAGAUAGAUUGGUAGAUAUAGAACUCCAUAGAGCUCCAUCGAUCGCCGGCGAGAAAAGAUAGCUCUGACGAGCUCUUAAGAGUCUGUGCAAAGACAUAUAUGUUGGUAGUUGAGUGAAGUCGUGUGGAGCAGUGCCUAGGGGUGGGCAUUUUACCCGAAAUCCAAAGUGGCAUCCGAAUCCGAUCCGAAAAACCCGAACCGAAAUCCGAACCGAAGUAGCAAAAUAUCCGAACGGAUAUUGAAUUAGGAGAGAUUGGAUAUCCGAACCCGAACGGGUAAUAUCCGAACCCGAAUGGAUAUCCGAAAAUAACCGAACAUAUGAUAAUUAAUCUUAUAUUUAUAGUUUACAUCUUUCAUUUUAUAUAAAAUAUUUAUAUUGAUACUACACAUACUUUAAUUUCAUAUGAUAUACAUACAAUUACGUAGAAGAUGAUUUGCUAUUCGCUUAAAAUGCAUGUCAAACUUCUUAUUUCAGCAAUUAACAAAAAGUUACAUCCAAAAUUUAAAAACAAUAACCAAAUUAAUGUCUUUUUAGUUUGAAAAUGUUAUGUCCAAAUAUAUUAACCAUGCAAUCUAUUAAAAAUAAAAAAUAGUUAAGUGAAAAAUUAUAUAUUUAAAUACAAGAAAUUUGAGAAAUGAAAAUUUUCAUUUUUUUUUCUUCAAAAUCUAAAUAUCCGAACCCGAUCCGAAAUAACCGAAACCGAACUUAAAAUACCCGAACCCGACCCGAAGUACAGAAAUACCCGAACGGGUUCUACACCUCUAUACCGAAAUACCCGAAAAUCCGAAAUACCCGACCCGAACCCGAACGGGUACCCGAACGCCCACCCCUAGCAGUGCCUCUCUAAUGGCAAAAGCCUACCCCAUGC
RNAcentral lists this long non-coding RNA (1248 nucleotides) under Brassica rapa (field mustard). Its description in RNAcentral is "long non-coding RNA (BRAP_LNC001062)". The record is from RNAcentral. Lineage: Eukaryota; Viridiplantae; Streptophyta; Magnoliopsida; Brassicales; Brassicaceae.